Long non-coding RNA from Etheostoma cragini (Arkansas darter), 309 nucleotides. RefSeq lists it as uncharacterized. The transcript is spliced from 3 exons. Lineage: Eukaryota; Metazoa; Chordata; Actinopteri; Perciformes; Percidae. The record is from RefSeq and is a predicted model, not a curated record.
CUUUUUUAGUCUUUGAAAGGUGGACAUCAGUAGCACUGAGUAGAGGAAACAGGCUUACUCUUGUGCAGUUUGAGGAUCGUGUAGGACAUGGUGGGCAGCACUCGUUCUCCCUCCAAGAUGUAGAUGUCCCAGAUCCUGAGGGUCAGGGUAAAGGGAGUCUUGACACAAACGGAACAAAAGGUGUUGUUUCAGUUUGGGCAUCAUCUUCUUGAGGAUGCGGUCGUGGUGAUCCUGGAAACGUAUCAGCUUUGGGAACCCGGGGAUAAAGAACCCUAAAGCAACAACUGCAUCUCAAGAGAUCCAUCUGUU